UAGGGAAUCUUCGGCAAUGGACGAAAGUCUGCCCGAGCAACGCUGCGUGAGUGAAGAAGGUUUUCGGAUCGUAAAACUCUGUUGUUAGAGAAGAACAAGGACGUUAGUAACUGAACGUCCCCUGACGGUAUCUAACCAGAAAGCCACGGCUAACUACGUGCCAGCAGCCGCGGUAAUACGUAGGUGGCAAGCGUUGUCCGGAUUUAUUGGGCGUAAAGCGAGCGCAGGCGGUUUCUUAAGUCUGAUGUGAAAGCCCCCGGCUCAACCGGGGAGGGUCAUUGGAAACUGGGAGACUUGAGUGCAGAAGAGGGGAGUGGAAUUCCAUGUGUAGCGGUGAAAUGCGUAGAUAUAUGGAGGAACACCAGUGGCGAAGGCGGCUCUCUGGUCUGUAACUGACGCUGAGGCUCGAAAGCGUGGGGAGCAAACAGG
RNAcentral lists this ribosomal RNA (429 nucleotides) under Gemmatimonadota bacterium. RNAcentral's name for it is "Gemmatimonadetes bacterium partial 16S ribosomal RNA". It matches the Rfam family "Bacterial small subunit ribosomal RNA", at positions 355 to 776 of the family's 1533-position model. The record is from RNAcentral. Lineage: Bacteria; Pseudomonadati; Gemmatimonadota.